RNAcentral lists this ribosomal RNA (360 nucleotides) under uncultured fungus. Its description in RNAcentral is "eukaryotic LSU rRNA". It matches the Rfam family "Eukaryotic large subunit ribosomal RNA", at positions 40 to 398 of the family's 3401-position model. The record is from RNAcentral. Lineage: Eukaryota; Fungi.
AUAUCAAUAAGCGCAGGAAAAGAAACCAACAGGGAUUACCUCAGUAACGGCGAGUGAAGCGGUAAUAGCUCAAAUUUGAAAUCUGGCCUCUUGGGGUCCGAGUUGUAAUUUGUAGAGGAUGUUUUGGGUACCGCCCCGGUCUAAAUUUCUUGGAACAGAAUGUCAAAGAGGGUGAGAAUCCCGUCUUGGACCGGCGGUAGGGCCUGUGUAAAACUCCUUCGACGAGUCGAGUUGUUUGGGAAUGCAGCUCAAAAUGGGUGGUAAAUUUCAUCUAAAGCUAAAUAUUGGCCAGAGACCGAUAGCGCACAAGUAGAGUGAUCGAAAGAUGAAAAGCACUUUGAAAAGAGAGUUAAACAGUAU